AAACGAUUGAAGCCAGUCAUGCUAGUGGGAAAUCAGCUCAUAGGCUACUGUGGGUGCACUUUCUCGCAAGGCAGGUUAACAUCGAUUUCAGUUGCAUUAUAAUGAUAGUGGGAAGGUAGCUCUCUCGGGAGUGUUAUAGCCUGCUAUAGAUGGCGUGACAGAGAUCGAGGAUUGCAGCGAAUGCCUUUAGGCUACAGGUCUGGUCUUUUUAAAGGUGUGAUCUUGUCCGUCAGCAUGCUGACGACAAGUUAGCACUCUCUAAUAGGUUCAGAACUCGAUAAAUUCGCUAAGGAUGUUGACGUAAUGGCUUUAAACGA
RNAcentral lists this ribosomal RNA (317 nucleotides) under Archaeosporaceae sp. Its description in RNAcentral is "LSU rRNA". The record is from RNAcentral. Lineage: Eukaryota; Fungi; Glomeromycota; Glomeromycetes; Archaeosporales; Archaeosporaceae.